RNAcentral lists this ribosomal RNA (252 nucleotides) under uncultured bacterium. Its description in RNAcentral is "partial 16S ribosomal RNA". It matches the Rfam family "Bacterial small subunit ribosomal RNA", at positions 524 to 776 of the family's 1533-position model. The record is from RNAcentral.
UACGUAGGGUGCAAGCGUUAAUCGGAAUUACUGGGCGUAAAGCGCACGUAGGCGGAUUUGUAAGUCAGGGGUGAAAUCCCGGGGCUCAGCCUCGGAACUGCCUUUGAUACUGCGAAUCUUGAGUCCGAUAGAGGUGGGUGGAAUUCCUAGUGUAGAGGUGAAAUUCGUAGAUAUUAGGAAGAACACCAGUGGCGAAGGCGGCCCACUGGAUCGGUACUGACGCUGAGUGCGAAAGCGUGGGGAGCAAACAGG